CUUCCCCCCGCGCUUUAUCUCCUCCUUCUGCCAGAGAAGUGGAGCAACUCCACCUCGCGUGCUAAAAAAAAAGAAAUAAAAAAAUAAAAUAAACCCACAAACCCGAGCUCUGCAGGCGCCGCACGGCAGGAGCAAAGCCCUUGAGAUGGUUAAAAACACCCCGCUAAAUAAUUCAAGUGACCUGAAAUGCCUUUCUCUGGGGAAGAGAAGGGGAGGGCUGUGUUGGAGCCGCCAGGCUGGAAGCCUGGAGAGAGUGCUUGGAUGCCGCUAUUAAGCAUGCAAUCGUGAUGGCUAAAAGCCACGGGCUUUAUAUGUAUAUAAAUAAAAAAUAUAUCUUUUUUUAAUUACAGCUUUGGCAAUUCCCAGCCAGUAAAUAGCAGCUCGGAGCAUAGGCCCGCAGCUGCAGAGCCAGCAGCCAUGACCCGGUGAGACCACGGCGCUGGGUGCGGGCAGCCCGGCAGGGACCUCUAGGGAAGGGAAGUCCAGAGGAAAAAGGAUAUCAAAGUCCAGCUGUCCAGUGUCAUCACAUUCAGAUUCUGCCAUGACCUAAAUAAAAAGACUGCAGGUGGCUGCUCUCUCUCCAUCACCUCUUGACUUUUGGACUGUGCUGCUGCAGAUGAUUUUCAGACACUCCUAUGCUGGGACAUCAGACAAUGGAAAGCUGCCCAGAUACAACUUGUGUCCUACUGGGAGGAGAAGAAAUGUCCAUCUUCAUGUUCAGCUUCUCUGUGCAUCUAUUUCAUUCUGGCCAACAGAAAUGGAAAAGAAAUAAACAAAAGAAGUACACUUUCAGUAAAAACUCCUACUUAACUUGUUGGAACAAAGGGCUUUGAGCAUAUUAGUAAUAAGCAAUAAGUGGCUGAUUGAUUGUCAGAAAAAACAUUUACAAUUGUGGAAACACAUUACUGUGAAUUAGGCAGAUUUUUAGCUGACCUAUGUAAAAAUGCAUGGUUUAUGCAUUAGGUUUUAUUUUCUUUUUGUACUGCUAGAGAAGAGGGACUGAGAAAAAUGGUUUGCAUUGCCUUUUUAAAAUGAUUCUCAUCAAUUUUGUGUGCUUUUAUCAUGCUUAAUUGUAGGGAUAAUUUUGAGUUUUUAGGAAAAAUUCUCAUAUUAGACUAAUCCAGUCUAGACAUUGAUUUCAGUGGGCAUUGGAACUUUCUUAAAUAGUUUCCAGAAAGGUUUCUUUCAUCACUGGUAAACUUGGAGAGCAGACAAAUGAAAUGGAUGAAAAAUAUGUAUUUAGAGCAUGGCAUGUAAGAAAGGGAUCUCAGUGCAACAGUCUGUCACCAAGAUAUUUGCUUUUGAAGUAGUUAUUUUUUUAGAAAAUACUUAACUUGCUGUAAAAUGUAUUAUUAGUGAAAAGCUUCAAAGCCAAACAUUCUUCCCUCCCAGUUUUGGUUAUUUGAUAAAGACAGGAUUCUUAACAUAAUAAUAUGGUUGAACUGAUUAUGUAAAAUAGCUUUUUAGCAAUUAAUAUUUGAGUGAAUGCCUUCUCUAAAAUGAAACCAUUAUGGAUCUUUGUUGCACUCUCAGAUUUCCUAAAAAGACUGUUUAACUAAGCUUCUUCUGUGUGAACAAAACAAUAAAAAACAAGUGUGAAACACUUAUCAUUUUAGGAUGCUUCUGCUGUGCAUUAUCAGUCUCUUUGCUGGUACUGGGGCAGAUUUCUCUGUAAUUCCCAAUCUUUUUUUUAAAUAUUUUAAUGUAACCAGUGCAUUUUCACUGUGAUCAUAAGGUUUCAUUAUUAUUUUAAGGAGUUAAAAGAGAGAGUGGUACUUUCACAUGGAUUUGCAACAAACUUUGAUGAGUUCCAGAAAAGUGACUGUUACACAAAUGUAUGAGGAAUGAAAAGAACUUGUUAUCUUUAACAAGAGCUUGAUUGGAUAAAAUAAAAGUUCCUUGUUAAUUUACUGAAGUUAGCAGUUAUGCUGGUAAUGAAUAUAUAAUCAACAACAUUUGAUCUUCUGCGGAAGCUUUUGCCCCUUUCUCCCCCUCAAAAUGUUUCUGGAGAGACUCCAGAUAAUUUCCUUUAAUAAGGAUUAAAACUUUAAAGGAGUGUUGCUUUAUAGUGACCCUUUUUGGCAGUUUAUCAGAACACUUAUGCAGCUGGUAAAUGUAACUACAGAAUUCUGAGCAGGGAUGACUUUUCCUUAAAGAAAUCUCUCCUUUCCCCUCCCUGCCAUGGGCAGCACAUUGUUUACAGCAACACUGACAAAAUAAAGAAUCACAAAAUUGAGUUACGUGGACAGGAAGGCUUUGAUUCUAUGGGAAUAGCUCCAAAAAUGUCUUGUGUAAUGCAUAUUAAAUGAAGUCAUUAUCCUAGAACUUUGAAAUAAGUCUAUCCAAAUAGACAUGACCUGUUUUUUUAAAAUAAUUAUGUUCCAUUUAGAGUUCUGAGAAAUUGUCUGUGUUUUUAACAUGAAUUAGGACUGACAUUCACAUGGAUCUCACACAAAGGCUAUUGAAGUGUUGUGCUGCAUUUGUAGAGAAGUUUUCCUGUUGACUCAUAUUGAUUUUACAGUGCUUGUUACAAACUGGUAUUGUUGGAAUCAGUGUUUUACUGGGGAAGUGGAUGUAUGUCUGUUGUUGUUUUGUUAUUUUUUAGAAGUCUCUCAAUCACCUCUGUAUUUCUUUAAGUUCCAACCCCUGCCAGGUACUAUCCUGUCUAUGGGAGUGAACACCAAUAGAGCCACAGAUGGACAGAGUAGACAGACAGCCCAUAUAAUCCAUCCUAUGCUGCUUUUAUAAGUCUAUAAAAAUGCAAUAAAGAAAAGAGUCUCAUUAGGUAGAGGCAGGGGGCUGAUGGAUUUGCAGGCCACACUCAGUUUAUAGCUGCCUUCUGUGUGAAAGUCCACCCUAGAGUGUGAGUUUACUCUGUUUGCCAUGGCUUGUUUAGUUAGACUUAAUUUACUUCUGGUAAUGUUAAGCAUUAUUGAUGUUUUUGUGGUGAUUUUCACCCUAAUUUGGCACCUAAGAAUGGACCCACUCUCGUUUUACUCAGUAGAAAUAAAACCCCUUAAGCCAGAGGUCAGGAGAGAAGCUGAGUGAAAAGCUCCUAACCAAGUGUGAGUUGUUUGGAAGGCAGGAUCUGUUUAGUUGAAAGGAAAACUUAAUGUCAAAGUUCUCAUUUCAACUCCUGUGUGUUUUUCUGCAUUGCAGCAAACACCACCUCCAAAUACUGAAAGAGGCUAAAAGAAAAAGAUUUUGUACAUAAUCUCAAAGCAAGUCAUUUUUUCUUUUGUUGUGGGAGUCUUUCCAGAGGAGAGUUUUUACCAUAAAAAAGUAAGAGCACGUGAUUUUUAAGUUCAAGUUCAUUUUAAAUCUCUCUGUGGGGCUGGAAGUGCUGGCUGCAGCAGUGCUGAAGUUUUUUCACUCCAGUCCUGUUUUUCUCAGCACUGCCAAAGGCUGCUGCAGGUGGAUUCAGGGAGAGAUGUGAAUCUCACACCCAUUAUCAGUGUAUUUUUUGGGAAUCCCAGCUAAAUAAAUGAUGACAAAUUCCUAAAUGUGAACUGUUGAUCCAAUCUUAUGAAACUGCUGAUAUUUUUAAUUUGUUAAUAUUUUUAUUCACUUACUUAAUAUUUCAGUAAAUAUUCAGUAAAUCAAAUUAACCUUUUUUCAACUAUGUCCUGUGCCUGUAAGUUCUGGAAAUUGCUGUUCUGCAUUAAUCAUUUUCCUUUUAUAAUUUUAUAAGUUGCUAUCUCUAAAUUUUGUUAUUGAGUCAUAGAAUGGGUUGGAUUGGAAGGGACCUUAAUGUGUCUGUCAUUUGGAUAGCUGGAAGUUCUCACCAUUUACAUUCAGAUUUUAAUGUUUUUCUUUCUAAUGACUGUUUAUAGCUUGUCUUUAACCUUAAGAGGUUCAAAUCAGAAAAUGAGCAAACUUUCAAAUAGGUCACUGUUCUUACAAUAAUGAUUUGCUAAAUUGUAUCAUCAUACCAAAACAGAUCUGAGUCUUGAGUUCAGUCAGACAAUUCCAGUUACCAUUAUAAAA
Molecule: non-coding RNA, 3987 nt
Organism: Zonotrichia albicollis (white-throated sparrow)
Lineage: Eukaryota; Metazoa; Chordata; Aves; Passeriformes; Passerellidae
Source: RefSeq, a predicted model, not a curated record